CGCACAUUGCGCCCUUUGGUAUUCCGAAGGGCAUGCCUGUUCGAGCGUCAUUAUCACCCCUCAAGCCCGGCUUGCUGUUGGUGGCGGCGUGGCCUUUGGGCCCCGCCCCGCCUAAAGAUAAUGACGGCGUCUGUGAGGACCCCUGUACACUGAGCUCUCGGGCACGUACACGGUCGGGAGUCCAGGCGCCGGUCGACGUCCGCAAGGACACUUUUUUCUAAGGUUGACCUCGGAUCAGGUAGGGAUACCCGCUGAACUUAA
This 261-nucleotide unclassified non-coding RNA is filed under the name Cyphellophora livistonae. RNAcentral's name for it is "partial contains 5.8S ribosomal RNA, internal transcribed spacer 2, and large subunit ribosomal RNA". The record is from RNAcentral. Lineage: Eukaryota; Fungi; Ascomycota; Eurotiomycetes; Chaetothyriales; Cyphellophoraceae.